This 338-nucleotide ribosomal RNA is filed under the name uncultured bacterium. RNAcentral's name for it is "partial 16S ribosomal RNA". It matches the Rfam family "Bacterial small subunit ribosomal RNA", at positions 338 to 690 of the family's 1533-position model. The record is from RNAcentral.
CCUACGGGAGGCAGCAGUGGGGAAUAUUGGGCAAUGGGCGCAAGCCUGACCCAGCAACGCCGCGUGAAGGAAGAAGGCUUUCGGGUUGUAAACUUCUUUUCUCAGGGACGAAGAAAGUGACGGUACCUGAGGAAUAAGCCACGGCUAACUACGUGCCAGCAGCCGCGGUAAUACGUAGGUGGCAAGCGUUAUUCGGAUUUAUUGGGGGUAAAGGGCGUGUAGGCGGGAGCGAAAGUCCGCUGGGAAAACUCAGGACUCAACCCUGAGCCUGCAUUUGAAACUGUGUUUCUUGAGUGCUGGAGGGGCAAUCGGAAUUCGGGGUGUGGCGGUGAAAUGGG